AGCGAACGUUAGCGGCAGGCCUAACACAUGCAAGUCGAGCGAGAAAGGGGCUUCGGCUCCGAGUAAAGCGGCGGACGGGUGCGUAACACGUGGAUAAUCUGCCCUUCAGUGGGGAAUAACACUCCGAAAGGAGUGCUAAUGCCGCAUGUCACAGCGAGGCCUCCGGGUCACGUUGGAAAAGGGGACGCCCGCAAGGGGUUCUCGCUGGAGGAUGAGUCCGCGGCCCAUCAGCUAGUUGGCGGGGUAAUGGCCCACCAAGGCUUAGACGGGUAGCUGGUCUGAGAGGAUGACCAGCCACACUGGGACUGAGACACGGCCCAGACUCCUACGGGAGGCAGCAGUGGGGAAUAUUGGACAAUGGGCGAAAGCCUGAUCCAGCCAUGCCGCGUGAGUGAUGAAGGUCUUCGGAUCGUAAAGCUCUGUGGGAAGGGACGAAAAAAGCCGACCUAAUACGUCGGAGCUUGACGGUACCUUCUUAGCAAGCACCGGCUAACUCCGUGCCAGCCGCCGCCGUAACAC
This 519-nucleotide ribosomal RNA is filed under the name uncultured bacterium. RNAcentral's name for it is "bacterial SSU rRNA". It matches the Rfam family "Bacterial small subunit ribosomal RNA", at positions 29 to 526 of the family's 1533-position model. The record is from RNAcentral.